This 1613-nucleotide ribosomal RNA is filed under the name Parvicapsulidae gen. sp. EK-2011. Its description in RNAcentral is "SSU rRNA". It matches the Rfam family "Eukaryotic small subunit ribosomal RNA", at positions 398 to 1791 of the family's 1831-position model. The record is from RNAcentral. Lineage: Eukaryota; Metazoa; Cnidaria; Myxozoa; Bivalvulida; Parvicapsulidae.
CUGAGAAACGGCUACCACUUCCAAGGAAGGCAGCAGGCGCGCAAAUUACCCAAUCCAGACAUUGGGAGGUAGUGACGAGAAAUACCGAGGUGGGCCUACAAGGUUUACCAUCGGAAUGAACGUAACUUAUAACCUUCGUUGAGUAACAACUGGAGGGCAAGUCUGGUGCCAGCAGCCGCGGUAAUUCCAGCUCCAGUAGUGUAUUUCAAAAUUGUUGCGGUUAAAACGCUCGUAGUCGAAUUAUAAAAACGUUAUUAAAGUCUAAUUAGCUACAUAUAAGUAGUUAAUUGGGUGACGUUUUUUUGUCGCAAGUACUAAUUGUGGGCUUCAAUGCUUGUGGUUAGUCGCUUGCGAAGCGUGCCUUGAAUAAAGCAAAGUGCUCAACGCAAGCGUAACGCUAAUAUGUAAUAGCAUGGAACGAAUUGAAAUGUGCAGGCGUUAGUUUAGUUAGUUGGUGGGGCUGCAAACUUUACAUGUAGCCUACCUUGCAAGCAAUUGCUCGGUAUUCUUAUGUGUCUWGUGUGUAGUCCGCCGAUUGGUCUGUGUUCAAUGGGUUGCCGGGGUGGUUAAACAUUCCGGUUGGACGUUGGACGCUCACAGGCCAYUCGGUACUAAACUGCCUGUCGGUUAAGAGGGACAUUUGAGGGCGUUAGUACUUGGAGGCGAGAGGUGAAAUUCUUAGACCCUCCAAAGACUGACAAAUGCGAAAGCAUUCGCCAAGAGUGUUUUCAUUGAUCAAGAACGAAAGUUGGAGGUUCGAAGACGAUCAGAUACCGUCCUAGUUCCAUACAGUAAACGAUGCCAACACGCGAUCAGUCUGAAGUAAUUUGGAUUGAGGUUGGUCGCCCAGGGAAACUGUAAGUGUUCUGGUUGUGGGGAGAGUACGGUCGCAAGGUUGAAAUUUAAAGGAAUUGACGGAAAGGCACCACCAGGAGUGGAGCCUGCGGCUUAAUUUGACUCAACACGGGACAACUCACCAGGUCCGGACAUUGGUAGGAUUGACAGACUGAUAGAUCUUUCAUGAUUCGAUGAUUGGUGGUGCAUGGCCGUUCUUAGUUGGUGGAGUGAUCUGUCAGGUUUAUUCCGGUAACGAGCGAGACCACGAUGUCUAGUUGAUGGCCAAACCACGACAGGGUAAAACCAAAGUGGUGCUUAUUUGCAUUCUGCAUGCUGUUGCAGUGUGGGUAGUUGGCGGCAACGUCGGCUACUUGCGCUGUAGCAGUGUGUGGGGUGCAUUAUGUACCAGGUGGUUUGGAUACUAGACAGACAACCGGAGAACCAAGCCGGGGGAAGCGUGGCAAUAACAGGUCUGUGAUGCCCUUCGAUGUUCUGGGCUGCACGCGCGCUACAAUGGCAGUGACAGAAAGGAGCUUGGCCGAAAGGUUUGGCAAAACUGGAAUCGCUGUCGUGAUUGGGAUUGAGCCUUGUAAUUUGCUCAUGAAAGAGGAAUUCCUCGUAAGCGCGAGUCACUAACUCGUGUUGAAUACGUCUCUGCCCUUUGUACACACCGCCCGUCGCUACUACUGAUUGAAUUAGUUUUUGAAGCGUAAGGAUUGGCGGACGAUGAUGGGCAACCUGAAUUGUUUUGCCGAGAAUCACCCUAAAAAAACCAU